RNAcentral lists this ribosomal RNA (664 nucleotides) under Rhizobium oryzihabitans. Its description in RNAcentral is "bacterial SSU rRNA". It matches the Rfam family "Bacterial small subunit ribosomal RNA", at positions 17 to 729 of the family's 1533-position model. Lineage: Bacteria; Pseudomonadati; Pseudomonadota; Alphaproteobacteria; Hyphomicrobiales; Rhizobiaceae. The record is from RNAcentral.
UCAUGGCUCAGAACGAACGCUGGCGGCAGGCUUAACACAUGCAAGUCGAACGCCCCGCAAGGGGAGUGGCAGACGGGUGAGUAACGCGUGGGAACAUACCCUUUCCUGCGGAAUAGCUCCGGGAAACUGGAAUUAAUACCGCAUACGCCCUACGGGGGAAAGAUUUAUCGGGGAAGGAUUGGCCCGCGUUGGAUUAGCUAGUUGGUGGGGUAAAGGCCUACCAAGGCGACGAUCCAUAGCUGGUCUGAGAGGAUGAUCAGCCACAUUGGGACUGAGACACGGCCCAAACUCCUACGGGAGGCAGCAGUGGGGAAUAUUGGACAAUGGGCGCAAGCCUGAUCCAGCCAUGCCGCGUGAGUGAUGAAGGCCUUAGGGUUGUAAAGCUCUUUCACCGAUGAAGAUAAUGACGGUAGUCGGAGAAGAAGCCCCGGCUAACUUCGUGCCAGCAGCCGCGGUAAUACGAAGGGGGCUAGCGUUGUUCGGAAUUACUGGGCGUAAAGCGCACGUAGGCGGAUAUUUAAGUCAGGGGUGAAAUCCCGCAGCUCAACUGCGGAACUGCCUUUGAUACUGGGUAUCUUGAGUAUGGAAGAGGUAAGUGGAAUUCCGAGUGUAGAGGUGAAAUUCGUAGAUAUUCGGAGGAACACCAGUGGCGAAGGCGGCUUAC